This 468-nucleotide ribosomal RNA is filed under the name uncultured bacterium. RNAcentral describes it as "partial 16S ribosomal RNA". It matches the Rfam family "Bacterial small subunit ribosomal RNA", at positions 28 to 507 of the family's 1533-position model. The record is from RNAcentral.
GACGAACGCUGGCGGCGUGCUUAACACAUGCAAGUCGAACGGAAAGGCCCUGCUUUUGUGGGGUGCUCGAGUGGCGAACGGGUGAGUAACACGUGAGUAACCUGCCCUUGACUUUGGGAUAACUUCAGGAAACUGGGGCUAAUACCGGAUAGGAGCUCCUGCUGCAUGGUGGGGGUUGGAAAGUUUCGGCGGUUGGGGAUGGACUCGCGGCUUAUCAGCUUGUUGGUGGGGUAGUUGCUUACCAAGGCUUUGACGGGUAGCCGGCCUGAGAGGGUGACCGGCAACAUUGGGACGAAGAUACGGCCGACAAGCCUCCGGGGGGAAGCAGUGGGGAAUAAUGCACAAUGGGCGGAAGAAUGAUGCAGGAGCGACGCGUGCGGGAGGAAGACGUUCGGGGUGUAAACAGCUUCCUCCUGCGACGAAGAGGCAGUGACGGUAACGGGUAAAGAAGCACCGGCUAACUACGUG